UGGUCCCCUCGCGGCGAUAUGCUGCAAACCCCGCCAGGCCCGGAAGGGAGCAACGGUAGUAGCAGAUUCGGGCGCCGAGGUGAGGCUG
Molecule: signal recognition particle RNA, 88 nt
Filed under: marine eukaryotic metagenome
Description: Bacterial small signal recognition particle RNA
Rfam family: Bacterial small signal recognition particle RNA
About the family: The signal recognition particle (SRP) is a universally conserved ribonucleoprotein involved in the co-translational targeting of proteins to membranes. Archaeal SRP consists of a 7S RNA and homologues of the eukaryotic SRP19 and SRP54 proteins.
Source: RNAcentral